Molecule: transfer RNA, 67 nt
Filed under: Schedorhinotermes sarawakensis
Lineage: Eukaryota; Metazoa; Arthropoda; Insecta; Blattodea; Rhinotermitidae
Description: tRNA-Trp
Source: RNAcentral
AAGACCUUAAGUUAAAUAAACUUGUAGCCUUCAAAGCUACACAUAAGGGGCCAACCUUUAGGCCUUG